UACCUGGCAGGGGAGAUACUAUGAUCAUAGAG
Molecule: small nuclear RNA, 32 nt
Filed under: Cervus elaphus hippelaphus
Lineage: Eukaryota; Metazoa; Chordata; Mammalia; Artiodactyla; Cervidae
Source: RNAcentral